This 295-nucleotide ribosomal RNA is filed under the name uncultured Armatimonadota bacterium. RNAcentral describes it as "uncultured Armatimonadetes bacterium partial 16S ribosomal RNA". It matches the Rfam family "Bacterial small subunit ribosomal RNA", at positions 1 to 311 of the family's 1533-position model. The record is from RNAcentral. Lineage: Bacteria; Bacillati; Armatimonadota.
ACUGGAGUUUGAUCCUGGCUCAGGACGAACGCUUGCGGCGUGCCUAAGAAAUGCAAGUCGAACGGGGGCUUCGGCCCCAGUGGCGAACGGUCGCGUAACACGUAAGCAACCUGCCCUGAAGUGGGGGACAACAUCCCGAAAGGGGUGCUAAUACCGCAUGUGGUCAUGAGUCGGCAUCGACUUGUGUCUAAAGAUUUAUCGCCUAAGGAUGAGCCCGCGUAAGAUUAGCUUGUUGGUGAGGUAAAAGCUCACCAAGGCGACGAUCUUUAGCUGGUCUGAGAGGAUGAUCAGCCAC